AACGAACGCUGGCGGUAUGCUUAACACAUGCAAGUCGAACGAGAAAGCUUCUUCGGAAGUGAGUAGAGUGGCGCACGGGUGAGUAACACGUAGAUAACCUACCCUUCAGCCCGGGACAACCCUUCGAAAGGGGGGCUAAUACCGGAUAAUACCUAUGAUCGAGUGGUCUAAGGUUGAAAGAUUUAUCACUGAUGGAUGGGUCUGCGUACCAUUAGCUAGUUGGUGGGGUAACGGCCUACCAAGGCUCCGAUGGUUAGCGGGUCUGAGAGGAUGAUCCGCCACACUGGAACUGAGACACGGUCCAG
Molecule: ribosomal RNA, 305 nt
Filed under: uncultured bacterium
Lineage: Bacteria
Description: bacterial SSU rRNA
Rfam family: Bacterial small subunit ribosomal RNA
Source: RNAcentral